GAAGAAGAUGAAGAACCGGUAAAACCUCCUAAAAAGCCUGCCAAGAAACCUUCCAAGAAACCUCUCCGUAAACCUAAGAAACGUGCUGUGUCUAAAGUUUCUCAGCUAGAGGAGAGUGAAGCUGAAGAAGCUGACACAGAGGAGAGUGAAAUUGAAGUGGAAGAGAAGCCAAAGAAGAAAAUAAUUGAACCAAAGAAACCAAA
Long non-coding RNA from Xenopus tropicalis (tropical clawed frog), 203 nucleotides. RefSeq lists it as uncharacterized. The transcript has 3 exons. NCBI's taxonomy places the organism in Eukaryota, Metazoa, Chordata, Amphibia, Anura, Pipidae. The record is from RefSeq and is a predicted model, not a curated record.